Notolabrus celidotus (New Zealand spotty) is the source of this 429-nucleotide long non-coding RNA. RefSeq lists it as uncharacterized. Lineage: Eukaryota; Metazoa; Chordata; Actinopteri; Labriformes; Labridae. The transcript has 2 exons. The record is from RefSeq and is a predicted model, not a curated record.
CAGAAAUCUCAGCCAUACACAGCUGCAGUGUGAGCACAGCCAGUCUCAUUAUCCUUACAGGGUGAAGUCAAGGUUAUUUCUGUGUGCUGCCCUCUACUGAUGCCUCUCUGAACUGACAGUCUGAGGUCAGGUAUGUCCACAUCUGGAAGGCACAUGCCUUCUGAGACAGAUGUACGAGGGGGUCAGGGGUCACCCGGGGCCCUUUAAUGCAGAUUAAAGAAGAAAAGUGAAGAACAACAGAGAUGAACAAACCUCUGAAGUGGCUCCAAGGCCGGACAAGCGCAGAGUGAGAUCUGACCGGCAUCACUCAGACAUGCAUGAGGCGACGAGCCGGCUGAUUGCACGAAAAAGACGGCACAGAGGCUGCAGAGAAUGUAAGACUUGGAAGGACUUUUAUUAAACUAUAUGAAUAUUUAAUCAAACUGAAAA